RNAcentral lists this long non-coding RNA (290 nucleotides) under Dromaius novaehollandiae (emu). Its description in RNAcentral is "lncRNA (ENSDNVG00000004736.1)". Lineage: Eukaryota; Metazoa; Chordata; Aves; Casuariiformes; Dromaiidae. The record is from RNAcentral.
AAUCCUUUCAUGAUUCAGCAAUUUUGUCUCCUUUGCAGGUUUUGAGAUAAAACAAGUAUUUCCUACUUACAGUAGAGGAGCACUUCUUCACUCAUGGUCUGUCUGUCUUGGAGUGGAUCCCAAGAUGGAUUUUCAGAUCCCAGCUAUCUGAAAAUAUCUUCUGACAUUUUCAAGAAUGCGCUUCAGUUUUCUGGAGCUGCCAGCCCAGAACUGUCCUGCAUCUAAUGGAGGAGGAAUGAGAAGAGCUAGUACGGAACCAAACAGCUGAAUAAACAACUGAUUUUACAGCA